CCACCCCCCGCGUGCACUCUCUGAGUUUCUCAGUUGGAAAAAGAGUCAUUAAAACGUGUGCGCACACUCGCACGAGCACACACAAAGAGCAGACGCACCACUCAGGAUAAGAGCAGACACAGAAACUGACUGCAGGAAGGAGGAUAUCCUGUUUACCUUGUUCAUUAGAGAAAAGUGGAGGAGGACAAAUUUCUGAAGGAGGCCAGCAGCUCCGAGCGCCAACGUGUCAUAUCAACAGGCGACCUGUCCAGGGUGUUCCACGCACCUCGCCCGAUGGCUGCUAGAGACAUACCAGCUCCUCAUGACCCUGCUGCGGACACCAGCCUGGAGGAGUUCUGCCAUGUUGUGGAGUUGCUAAUGCUAACAGAUUCUACUAGCCGAGACGUGCUCUGCUCUCUCCUGGACGCUAAACCAACAACAGCUGUCCCAAAUCUCCCGAAAAAGCAAAGCUAAUGCAGGAAACAGGCCUACAAGAUAAUUUUAAGGUUUAAUCACGUUUGGAGUGUUUAUAGAGGCAGUAGAGAUUACAUGGCAGCACAAAAAUAUGCAAAAGGUGAAUAUGCAUCUUGUGUCUCCUUUUUAAACAUUCUGAUAUUAUUGCUUUAAUUAGUGGGGACGUUUUUCUUACUUCUGUGCAGGGGCAGCGUUAGGCCCGGCUACUUGGGCUGGAGCCCCGGAUGUUUUAUGAAAAGCCCCGGAUCUAAAUCGUGGAAGUAACAUGCAGUACCAAAGUCCAACAGAGAGGGAGCAGCUGGCAGUAGUUUGUAUACAGCCUGCCUGAGCCUCCACCACUGAAGAAGAAGCCCUUCAGCAGCCGGCUUCUUCUGCAGUCUCUGCCUGAAACGCAUGUGUGAAGAUGGACAUAAGGACGUUUUUUAGACCAAAAGUACAACGACAGAACCCCAGCUUUGAUGAGACUGGUGUUGACUCAGGUUUGUGAGUCUUAUCUGAAAAUAUUUGUUGUGCUGCUGGUUUGCCUAAAGUUAGCUUACUAUCAGGUAAAGUUGAUGGAGAAAGAAAGGGAAUAUUUACUAUCAUCUCACACUAAACACUAACAGGAACAAUACUCUACCCUGAAUAUGCUUAAUAUGUAGCUUCAGAUUAAAAAUUAUGUGGUACAAGACAACUAUAUAUGAUGUUGACUAGUGCAUGUCACGUGUGUGUGCGUGUGCGUAUGUGUGUGUUAAGCCCCGGAUCUUCUUCAGUCCUAAAUCCGCCCCUGCUUCUGUGACAAAACUUACUCUAGACUGCUGUGAAUCUUGGUGUGUGUGUGUGUGUGUGUGUGUGUGUGGCUCAACAGAGAACUAUUUAGUUUCAGACUGAAUAAAUCUGCCGUGUCGUCUGAAACCCUGUGGUGCUCCUGUAGGGCUGGUUAUUUGAUCCACACUCAACUCGUGUACUUGGAGAGGAGGUAGGGGAGGUUAGCUAAAUAGUGUAGCACUCUCGAGCAUCAGGGCAGGCUUUGUCCAAGAAGAUGCUGAACUCAGCUGAUGAGUUGGAGUAACCAAAAGAACACCUCUGGUAAGCUGGCUAAGAAACUUUUGCCAAAGUGGUCAGGCCCAUACCUGAUAACUGCUAAGCUCUCUCCAGUCGUUUAUCAGAUCAAGAUUACCCAAACAAACAAGGAGCCCGUCUAUAAGUGGGUCCACAGGGACAAAAUCAAACCGCACAAGGGUUCCACUAAUUUGGACAAUGCUACCACCAACAACUUACCGACUUCGAAAAGGGGGUGGUUUCAUACCUCGUCGGUUCCAUAGUUCUCUAUUUCGAGUUACACAAGUUUGUCUGUUUGUGUGUGUGCAUGGUUCUUUCCUGUUUAUACAUGACGUGCAGACUUGGGUGAUUUGAGAUAGUCAUGCUGUGGGUUCCUGAAGUCAGGUAAUCAGUAAGUUAACAGUAAUGGGUUUAAUUUCACAUACUGUUGUGUUAUCCAAAUUUGUUUAUUUUUACUAAUCUUAAUUCCUUAUGGGGUAUAUUUACAUAUAGGUUGAUUACUAACCUCACUGAUUUACAUUUUAGUGCUCUUCGACACUCAUGUCUAUCUUUUUAUAUUAUUUUACCUACAGUUGAUUAAGUUUUAAAAACUUUAUGAUUAACUUUGUUAAUUUACCAGUAAUGGGCUACAACCAUUUUUGCCCAUCAUUUUGAUGACAUUUUUACUUAGUGUCAUGACUUCUCCUAUACAUAUAGUAUAGGGUUUUGUUAAUUUGUCCUUUUACACCACUUUUCCAGUACACGUAGUGUAUUGCAUUCAUUUCUUCACUUGAACUCUGUUCACAUAAUUGCUUCACAUAGUACAUACAGGUACACAUAGUGCCAGGUUUAUUUUUCUUUAUUGAUUUGCAUCAGGCGCCAUCUUGUUGCGUCUACAUUGAAGUGCCCUGUGUUGUGCUUUCUCUCCUCUACUGAGUUUCGCCAAUGAUCCUCGAUUCCUGGGUUGGCCUAUGAUUUGUCUUCGGAUCCUACUGCUGCUUGGUGUUCCGGCUCGUUGGACCUGGAUGUCCGUGGAUUCCGGCUAUUGCUGCUGGGAUGUUUCGUUCGUUGGGACCGGAUCCGCUGCCUGCUCGUCCUCUUCCUAUUCUGGAUUACGCUAAGUGCAAUUACAAGGAUCAAAUUACUGUUGACUUAUUCCCCUCCUGAGGAUAUAUUCAUGAUUUGCUGACUUUUGAUAAACCGCCUUGAAAGGAUUUACCCUCUUCCGAAGGAAAUUAUAUACUUUUGGCCUCUGCCUGGGAAAUGACAUCUUGCAUUCUCGACGGAGACCCUCCAGGCCUCUGUUGUUCAAUGCCAGGUGGUCUCUGAUGGACCACCGUGCCCUUGAAAAGGGGGGAUAUGUAGCGUGAUGAAUUGUCCAUCUUUGACCAAAAAAGCCCUGCUCUAUUUGCUCUGCCCAAGCAAAACCAUAAGUUUCUGACACAUGCCUAAUAUACAAGAUAUGGGCCAAGGCCACUCAUGCUCUGUGCUCUUAUCUAAACUCUUGCUUCCUCGGACAGCACAAGAAAGAAGUAAGAAGUCGAAGAACUCUUUCUCUUUAAAUAAUAAUCAAAUAACUUUGUUUGUCCAAAUAAUCAUGUGAAGCUCAAUGUUCAAUCAAUUUGUGUAAUAAGAAUAUUAAUUACUUGAUAUUAUAAUCCUAUGAUAGUAUUUUUAAUAAGUAAUAUAACUUUAAAUUUUAAACACUAGACUGAUCACACGUAAUGCUAAAGUCACAUGACACAUUUCCUUUUUCUGAUCCAAUCAGAACAUUCCAGAUCUGACGCGAGGUGUGGUUUUGUUGGUGCUUGUAUAAUCCUCUUUUGUUGUCAAAUUCUGAUUCGACAGUAAAUCAAAACAUCCAAAUUAUAAAACUAUGCCCCACGUCAUCUUAACUUGAGUUCAAAGCGUUCUAGAGAAGUUAUCGGAGUGGCCAAUCCGUAACUUUUCUCUUUAAGCCGAAAGAACCUAACGACAUGCUGGAUUAAAUCUGUUGCAUGUUCCACCUGCUGCAAUGGUUCCUUCAGAAUAAAAGCUGAACCAUCACGACCCCCUCAGGGUCUCACUGAUGCCAAUAAACUGUUGUGACCUGGGAGUAACUCAAGACUGGAUGGGUCAGCAACCGCUGCAUAUCUACAGGCGUCGGUUCCAAGAGGGUCCAAGCUGGAUCCCGACAUUCUGAAUCUAAAUGGGGGCUUCCGUUGGGGUACGUAGAUCGACAGAUGGCGUCUCAAUGAGUGUUAUAAUCUCCAAACCAAAGCUUAGAGCGAAACACCCUUUCACUCCCACUCUGAACUAAUAGUCUCUCUGGAUUUGCUGGUUCUGAACAUAUUUCACACACACACCAUCCUCAGUCUUACUCCACCUUAGUUACAUCAUACACAUAGUGUUUAAAGUUAGUCUUGUUUAAAUAGUUUAGAAAUAAAUCUUCUUAAACUUUAAAA
Non-coding RNA from Nothobranchius furzeri (turquoise killifish), 3917 nucleotides. NCBI's taxonomy places the organism in Eukaryota, Metazoa, Chordata, Actinopteri, Cyprinodontiformes, Nothobranchiidae. The record is from RefSeq and is a predicted model, not a curated record.